Molecule: ribosomal RNA, 253 nt
Filed under: uncultured bacterium
Lineage: Bacteria
Description: partial 16S ribosomal RNA
Rfam family: Bacterial small subunit ribosomal RNA
Source: RNAcentral
UACGUAGGGUGCGAGCGUUGUCCGGAAUUAUUGGGCGUAAAGAGCUCGUAGGCGGUGUGUCACGUCGGCCGUAAAACCUGGGGCUUAACUCUGGGCGUGCGGUCGAUACGGGCAUCACUAGAGUUCGGCAGGGGAGACUGGAAUUCCUGGUGUAGCGGUGAAAUGCGCAGAUAUCAGGAGGAACACCGGUGGCGAAGGCGGGUCUCUGGGCCGAUACUGACGCUGAGGAGCGAAAGCGUGGGGAGCGAACAGG